GACGAACGCUGGCGGCGUGCCUAAUACAUGCAAGUCGAACGCUGAAGGCGGAGCUUGCUUCUCUGGAUGAGUUGCGAACGGGUGAGUAACGCGUAGGUAACCUGCCUGGUAGCGGGGGAUAACUAUUGGAAACGAUAGCUAAUACCGCAUAAGAGUAGAUGUUGCAUGACAUUUGCUUAAAAGGUGCAAUUGCAUCACUACCAGAUGGACCUGCGGUGUAUUAGCUAGUUGGUGGGGUAGCGGCUUACCAAGGCGACGAUACAUAGCCGACCUGAGAGGGGGAGCGACCAGACCGGAGCUGAGACACGGCCCAGUCGGCUACGAGAGGCGGCAGUAGGGAAUCCUGGGGGAAGGACGGAAGACUGACCGAGCAACGCCGGAUGAGUGAUGAAGGUACGCGGAUCGUAAGGCGCUGGUGUAAGAGAAGAAAGAGGGUGUGAGUUGAAAGGUCACGCUGGGGCGGUAACUUACCAGAGAAGGACGGCUAACUACGGG
RNAcentral lists this ribosomal RNA (495 nucleotides) under uncultured bacterium. RNAcentral describes it as "partial 16S ribosomal RNA". It matches the Rfam family "Bacterial small subunit ribosomal RNA", at positions 28 to 507 of the family's 1533-position model. The record is from RNAcentral.